Molecule: ribosomal RNA, 378 nt
Filed under: Triticum aestivum (bread wheat)
Lineage: Eukaryota; Viridiplantae; Streptophyta; Magnoliopsida; Poales; Poaceae
Description: partial small subunit ribosomal RNA
Source: RNAcentral
AUGCCCCGACAAACGUUCUUUGUCGACCGUGCUCGUAGCUCGCCUCGCGCACCGAGCCCACCCAGAGCGCGCGACAGCACGCGGGUGCGCGACCUGACGCCGACGCCCUCUCCCUUCCCCUCUCUGUCACCACCGCCACCUCCAACCAUGACAGUCGAGGAGGAGCGGCUGGUGCAAGCCGUGAUGAAGGACUACGAGAGGGAGUUUAAGCGCAGACAAGAGGAGCAACGGGAGGAGCUGCACGAGAUGAUGGCGCUCUCGGUUGCCGGAGAUGUCUACGUUCCGGAGCUGGAUGUGAAGCAGGAGGUGAAGGAGGAGAUGAUGGAGGACCGACCGCCCACCCCGGUGUGGAACCCUACGCUGUAUGGGCAGUCAUGA